CCUACGGGAGGCAGCAGUGGGGAAUCUUGCACAAUGGAGGAAACUCUGAUGCAGCGAUGCCGCGUGAGUGAAGAAGGCCCUUGGGUUGUAAAGCUCUUUCGUCGGGGAAGAAAAUGACUGUACCCGAAUAAGAAGGUCCGGCUAACUUCGUGCCAGCAGCCGCGGUAAUACGAAGGGACCUAGCGUAGUUCGGAAUUACUGGGCUUAAAGAGUUCGUAGGUGGUUGAAAAAGUUAGUGGUGAAAUCCCAGAGCUUAACUCUGGAACUGCCAUUAAAACUUUUCAGCUAGAGUAUGAUAGAGGAAAGCAGAAUUUCUAGUGUAGAGGUGAAAUUCGUAGAUAUUAGAAAGAAUACCAAUUGCGAAGGCAGCUUUCUGGAUCAUUACUGACACUGAGGAACGAAAGCAUGGGUAGCGAAGAGGAUUAGAUACCCUCGUAGUCCAUGCCGUAAACGAUGUGUGUUAGACGUUGGAAAUUUAUUUUCAGUGUCGCAGCGAAAGCGAUAAACACACCGCCUGGGGAGUACGACCGCAAGGUUAGAACUCAAAUGAAUUGACGG
This 558-nucleotide ribosomal RNA is filed under the name uncultured bacterium. RNAcentral describes it as "bacterial SSU rRNA". It matches the Rfam family "Bacterial small subunit ribosomal RNA", at positions 338 to 916 of the family's 1533-position model. The record is from RNAcentral.